GAUGAACGCUGGCGGCGUGCCUAAUACAUGCAAGUCGAGCGAACAGACGAGGAGCUUGCUCCUCUGACGUUAGCGGCGGACGGGUGAGUAACACGUGGAUAACCUACCUAUAAGACUGGGAUAACUUCGAGAAACCGGAGCUAAUACCGGAUAAUAUAUUGAACCGCAUGGUUCAAUAGUGAAAGACGGUUUUGCUGUCACUUAUAGAUGGAUCCGCGCCGCAUUAGCUAGUUGGUAAGGUAACGGCUUACCAAGGCGACGAUGCGUAGCCGACCUGAGAGGGUGAUCGGCCACACUGGAACUGAGACACGGUCCAGACUCCUACGGGAGGCAGCAGUAGGGAAUCUUCCGCAAAGGGCGAAAGCCUGACGGAGCAACGCCGCGUGAGUGAUGAAGGUCUUCGGAUCGUAAAACUCUGUUAUUAGGGAAGAACAAAUGUGUAAGUAACUAUGCACGUCUUGACGGUACCUAAUCAGAAAGCCACGGCUAACUACGUG
Molecule: ribosomal RNA, 497 nt
Filed under: uncultured bacterium
Lineage: Bacteria
Description: partial 16S ribosomal RNA
Rfam family: Bacterial small subunit ribosomal RNA
Source: RNAcentral